RNAcentral lists this ribosomal RNA (379 nucleotides) under uncultured bacterium. Its description in RNAcentral is "bacterial SSU rRNA". It matches the Rfam family "Bacterial small subunit ribosomal RNA", at positions 29 to 402 of the family's 1533-position model. The record is from RNAcentral.
AGUGAACGCUGGCGGCAGGCCUAACACAUGCAAGUCGAACGGCAGCACAGAGGAGCUUGCUCCUUGGGUGGCGAGUGGCGGACGGGUGAGGAAUACAUCGGAAUCUGCCCAGUCGUGGGGGAUAACAUAGGGAAACUUAUGCUAAUACCGCAUACGACCUACGGGUGAAAGCGGGGGAUCGCGAGACCUCGCGCGAUUGGAUGAGCCGAUGUCCGAUUAGCUAGUUGGCGGGGUAAUGGGCCCACCAAGGCGACGAUCGGUAGCUGGUCUGGGAGGAUGAUCAGCCACACUGGAACUGAGACACGGUCCAGACUCCUACGGGAGGCAGCAGUGGGGAAUAUUGGACAAUGGGCGCAAGCCUGAUCCAGCCAUGCCGCGU